Molecule: ribosomal RNA, 515 nt
Filed under: uncultured bacterium
Lineage: Bacteria
Description: partial 16S ribosomal RNA
Rfam family: Bacterial small subunit ribosomal RNA
Source: RNAcentral
GAUGAACGCUGGCGGCGUGCCUAAUACAUGCAAGUCGAGCGAAUGGAUUAAGAGCUUGCUCUUAUGAAGUUAGCGGCGGACGGGUGAGUAACACGUGGGUAACCUGCCCAUAAGACUAGGAUAACUCCGGGAAACCGGGGCUAAUACCGGAUAACAUUUUGGACCGCAUGGUUCGAAAUUGAAAGGCGGCUUCGGCUGUCACUUAUGGAUGGACCCGCGUCGCAUUAGCUAGUUGGUGAGAUAACGGCUCACCAAGGCAACGAUGCGUAGCCGACCGGAGAGGGUGAUCGGCCACACUGGGACUGAGACACGGCCCAGACUCCUACGGGAGGCAGCAGUAGGGAAUCUUCCGCAAUGGACGAAGGUCUGACGGAGCAACGCCGCGUGAGUGAUGAAGGCUUUCGGGUCGUAAAACUCUGUUGUUAGGGAAGAACAAGUGCUAGUUGAAUAAGCUAGCACCUUGACGGUACCUAACCAGAAAGCCACGGCUAACUACGUGCCAGCAGCCGCCGUAA